AUGAAAAAUCAGUAACAUAAAACAUAUUAUAAAUCUAUAUCCAUUAACAAUAAACCAAAUCAUAAAUGUUUUUAUUUUCACCAGCUUAUUCGUAUCCACGGAGUUCAUAGGGAUGUCCCCACUACACGUGAACACUUUCUUUUAACAAUAUCAAUUACAGGGCCUUCCCUAUACCCCGUCCGGUAUAAAUAUCAAAUCAUUAAACCUCAAUACCCCGUCUGGUAUGAAAGUGAAGCAGGUCAUUCCCAUACCUCGUCCGGUAUGAGCGCUAAAUUAUUCAAUAUCCAUACCCCGUCCGAUAUAAGACAACGUUCACAGUAGGGUUUCCUAUAUACCUAGUCCAUUCACUAUCUCCUAGGAUAUCUGGUAAGGCUGUCGUUCAUCUGUUUAUUUAAUCACCCUACUUUUC
Molecule: long non-coding RNA, 409 nt
Filed under: Carica papaya (papaya)
Lineage: Eukaryota; Viridiplantae; Streptophyta; Magnoliopsida; Brassicales; Caricaceae
Description: long non-coding RNA (CPAP_LNC010454)
Source: RNAcentral